UUGGAGGGCAAGUCUGGUGCCAGCAGCCGCGGUAAUUCCAGCUCCAAUAGCGUAUAUUAAAGUUGUUGCAGUUAAAAAGCUCGUAGUUGAAUUUCGGGAUCAUCAGGUUGGUCGUGCCAUUGGUAUGUACUAGCUUUGGUGGUUCCUACCUCUUGAAGAACCGUAAUGUCAUUAACUUGGUGUUGCGGGAAUCAGGA
RNAcentral lists this ribosomal RNA (197 nucleotides) under uncultured Sclerocystis. RNAcentral describes it as "partial small subunit ribosomal RNA". It matches the Rfam family "Eukaryotic small subunit ribosomal RNA", at positions 548 to 747 of the family's 1831-position model. The record is from RNAcentral. Lineage: Eukaryota; Fungi; Glomeromycota; Glomeromycetes; Glomerales; Glomeraceae.